CACGUAGUUAGCCGGGGCUUCUUACUCAGGUACCGUCUGCUGACCGUAAGGUCAGUGUUUCUUCCCUGCUGAUAGAGCUUUACGUAACGAAUUACUUCUUCACUCACGCGGCGUCGCUGCAUCAGGGUUUCCCCCAUUGUGCAAUAUUCCCCACUGCUGCCUCCCGUAGGGGUCUGGGCCGUGUCUCAGUCCCAAUGUGGCCGUCCGCCCUCUCAGGCCGGCUACUGAUCGUCGCCUUGGUGGGCCGUUACCCCGCCAACAAGCUAAUCAGACGCGGGUCCAUCUUACACCACCGGAGUUUUUCACACCGCUUCAUGCGAAGCUGUGCGCUUAUGCGGUUUUAGCACCUAUUUCUAAGUGUUAUCCCCCUGUGUAAGGCAGGUUACCCACGCGUUACUCACCCGUCCGCCACUAACCCAUAUAUCACUAGGUUUCAAUAUGGGUCCGUUCGACUUGCAUGUGUUAAGCACGCCGCCAGCGUUCAUCCUGAGCCAGGAUCAAACUCU
RNAcentral lists this ribosomal RNA (506 nucleotides) under uncultured Eubacteriales bacterium. RNAcentral's name for it is "uncultured Clostridiales bacterium partial 16S ribosomal RNA". Lineage: Bacteria; Bacillati; Bacillota; Clostridia; Eubacteriales. The record is from RNAcentral.